CAACGUAAAAAGUUCAUUUAAAAUGAAGAGCACUUUAAUUUAAAGAGGAUUGUCCUAAUAGGCUCUCCGUACUUCUGAGUUUGCACAUGUGCAGUGUGGAAGUUUGAUCAUCCGCCAUUUUCAACUGAGACUUGCAUGUGCUUAGUAUCCUGGAUAGAAUCCAUCGCCAUCUGAGGAUUAUUUGGUUGGUUAGCUAGUUCUGUCUCUCAAUAGAUGCAACAAAAGUGGCUCAGAUGUGGUUGUUUUAAAUGUGGAAGUGCAGACAGUGUGCUGAAAGUGUUUUGACAAGAAUCCCAGCGUUGAUGUUCGACGGGAAUGCAUUCUGAAAGCUGUCUGUGUCUACUUAAAUGAAAAGCCAGAUGACCUGUUCAAGGAAUUCUUAGAUGUGGAUCUUGGUGCAAGCAGAGAAACGGAGCAGCUGACUUUGGGAAUCUAUGUUGUCAGACAUGAAGGAGCAGACUCUGCAGAUACACCUGAGGACAUUGGUGUCAUCAUAGAAGGAUGCACUGUGCUGCAAGCUCUUAGUGAUGUGGCAAAGGGGUGUGCCCUCCUGCUUGGACUAAUCUACAGUCUAAAUCUGAGCUACCCAAAGCACCUGAAAUACACAUUUGAAUUUCUUCAGAAGGUGCUGAUGGAGUUGGAUGGGAACAACCUAUCCAUGAAGGUGCAGGUUCUGAAAAACAAACUGCUUGAGUGAAACAGCCUGCACUGAACUAUAGAGGACACUGAACUUUAAGGUUCUCGAACCCUUCUCCUUGCACUUCAUAAACUGUUCCGUUUGAAUUGCCGCACAAACUUCUGCAAGCCUUUCACUUUUCUGCGUUCUUUGUUCUUGAACCUUUACCAACAUCCAACUACACUGAAAAAGACUGCUCCUAACUUUGGACUUCAGUUUAAGUUUUGAAGCAAAGGUUAUUUUUCUAAAUAUGGACAAAAAUGACACUAAAGUAAUUUCUACCUGCUGUUUGUAGGGCUGUAUUGUGGGAUUUUCAUUGUAGCCCAGUUUAAAAUAAGUCAUGUUAAUGUUAAAAAUGUUGGAAUCACAACACUUUCCAGUUUUAAUCAUUUCGGUUUAGCAUGACAUUCUGUAUCUUGUCUUUCUGCACUUAUAAUGCACUUGAAUAUAUGUAAAGAUUGUUUAUGAAAAAAGAUCUAAAAGCAUUUGAAUUACUCAAAGUGUUUACACACAAGUUUUACACAAAGUAUUAUUAAAGUUAGGUUAACUGAACAAACUUGUGUUCGAUUUAUUUA
This is a long non-coding RNA of Oreochromis niloticus (Nile tilapia), 1251 nucleotides long. RefSeq lists it as uncharacterized. NCBI's taxonomy places the organism in Eukaryota, Metazoa, Chordata, Actinopteri, Cichliformes, Cichlidae. The record is from RefSeq and is a predicted model, not a curated record. The transcript has 5 exons.